RNAcentral lists this ribosomal RNA (347 nucleotides) under uncultured eukaryote. RNAcentral's name for it is "SSU rRNA". It matches the Rfam family "Eukaryotic small subunit ribosomal RNA", at positions 594 to 945 of the family's 1831-position model. The record is from RNAcentral.
AUAGCGUAUAUUAAAGUUGUUGCAGUUAAAAAGCUCGUAGUUGAACUUCAGACCUGGCUGGGCGGUCCGCCUAACGGCGUGUACUGUCUGGCUGGGCCUUACCUCUUGGUGAGCCGGCGUGCCCUUUAUUGGUGUGCGUCGGGGAACCAGGACUUUUACCUUGAGAAAAUUAGAGUGUUCAAAGCAGGCCUGUGCCCGAAUACAUUAGCAUGGAAUAAUAAAAUAGGACGUGCGGUUCUAUUUUGUUGGUUUCUAGAGUCGCCGUAAUGAUUAAUAGGGAUAGUUGGGGGCAUUGGUAUUGAGUUGCUAGAGGUGAAAUUCUUGGAUUUACUGAAGACUAACUACUG